Long non-coding RNA from Musa acuminata AAA Group (dessert banana), 783 nucleotides. RefSeq lists it as uncharacterized. The record is from RefSeq and is a predicted model, not a curated record. The transcript is spliced from 5 exons. NCBI's taxonomy places the organism in Eukaryota, Viridiplantae, Streptophyta, Magnoliopsida, Zingiberales, Musaceae.
GUUUGGUCUCUCUCUCAAGUCGGCUUCCUCUUCCUUUGCCAAGAAAAGAAACUCUGGUCCGGUGGGGGAUCUGGAACCCCCGUGGCAAGAACGUUCUCCGACGGCCCGGAAGCAGCGAUCUAUCGGCGGCAGCGACGGGCUUGGCGUCGGGCUCUGCCGCUGGACCGAAGGCAUGGUCCGCUGCCUACCGCCUCAUGAGGCAAAUGGGAUGGGACGAAGGCGAGGCCUUGGCAAAGACGAGCAAGGCAUUAAGGACAGACAUCCUGAUACUCAAUAUCGAGUUGUGCUCUUUACUAUCUUGCGUCGUAUUCUGUUUCAAUCAUCUCUAUUUGGUAGAAGCAUCGAAGGGAGAUGAUGCUGAUCAAAUUAAGUCUAGACAAGAUGCACUGGAGCAUGAUGUGGUCAAUGAAGGUACAAAAAAAAGGAGAGAGGGGGAAGAUUGUGAAAGCAUACUCGGAAGACCUUCAAGGAAUUCUUGUAAAGGUUGUGUCGAGUUCAUCGCACAAAAAAAAAAGGGGCUUUGGAACACAUCAUAUCAAGAGACGGGAAAUUUUGCAGGCAGCAGCAGAUUGCUGUUAUGCGGACGUGGUGCAUCAGCAGCUCAAUCCCAGACUAGAAACUAUCUUGUACACUGCAUUAGAUUGCAUGGUAAAGUAGAAGUUAUCCGAGUACAAACUUGUGGUAAAGCUGUGAGUUUUAAUCGAUUCGUUAUGGUUUUGUAACCGGUGUGGAUCUUUUGUUUCCCAAAUAUUAAAUUGAUAUGGUAUUAUGGUCUUCCUUUGA